CUAAUAUGUACAUGCUUUAUUUAUGCACUGCAGAUUAUAAGAGCUAGAAAACUACUAUUGGAGGACUCCAGUAUAAAACAAUAAAGAUACUAUUAGCUUGUUCAUCUAAGCAAAGAGAGAAAGCAAAGAGGAAACAGGAAUGUACAUUACCCUUUGUAGAGAACUUCCAUGCACAUUCUUCAUUGCUCAAGCUCUUGUCAUUUUCAGUUUGCAUUGCUGUUAUUUAAGCUACUUUGCGCACUUGAAGUUGUCAAGUUGGUCGAAGGGCAGCUUGUCUUGUCAGGUUAGCACAUAAGGCAAUGGAACCACUUCCAAAGAGCCAAGGAAGAGAUUGUUCAUAAUGGAACCUAUACAAAACAAUGAAGGUCGUACGCCAUUUGCAGACUUGACAAACUCCAUUAAUGGAGCUGUUCAUACAACAUCAAAUUCACAAGUGCAAGCUGAUGAACGUGUGCAACGUAAAAGGGAAAGAGAAAAGGCAAGACAUGCAACAAUGACUCAAGAACAAAGGGAUGAAAAAAAAAUAAAAAACAUAGAGAAAAAUAUCAUCAAAAAAAGGCAGAAACUUCACUAGCUGCUGGGUCCAGAGAUGGAUUUAAAUCAACCACGGAAAACACCAAUGGCUAUGAAGAUAGUGACUGGCUACAUCGAGACAAUUCAUAUAAACCCAUGCCGAGUGAUAAAGAAAACACAUAUAAUUACUCCGAUAGAUGUGUAGAUCAAAGUGGCAUGCUUGACUUGACUGUUGCAUCACCUGAUCUAAACCCAGGUGUUGUCAAUACAUCCAGUCCCAUCAAGGACAUUGUCACGUG
Molecule: long non-coding RNA, 812 nt
Organism: Sorghum bicolor (sorghum)
Lineage: Eukaryota; Viridiplantae; Streptophyta; Magnoliopsida; Poales; Poaceae
Exons: 7
Source: RefSeq, a predicted model, not a curated record